RNAcentral lists this ribosomal RNA (496 nucleotides) under uncultured bacterium. RNAcentral describes it as "partial 16S ribosomal RNA". It matches the Rfam family "Bacterial small subunit ribosomal RNA", at positions 30 to 523 of the family's 1533-position model. The record is from RNAcentral.
UUGAACGCUGGCGGCAGGCCUAACACAUGCAAGUCGAGCGCGAAAGGUUUUCGGACUGAGUAAAGCGGCGGACGGGUGAGUAACGCGUGGGAAUCUGCCCAGUAGUGGGGGACAACAGUCGGAAACGACUGCUAAUACCGCAUACGCCCUACGGGGGAAAGGGGGGGAUCUUCGGACCUCUCGCUAUUGGAUGAGCCCGCGUCGGAUUAGCUAGUUGGUAGGGUAAGGGCCUACCAAGGCUACGAUCCGUAACUGGUCUGAGAGGCUGAACAGUCACACUGGAAGUGAGACAAGGGCCAGACUCCUACGGGAGGCAGCAGUGGGGAGUAUUAGACAAAGGGGGCAACGCUGAUCCAGCCAUGCCGGGUGUGUGAAGAAUGCCUUAGGUUUGUAAAGCACUUUCAGUGGGGAGAAAGGUUUGUCACCUAAUACGUGAUGAAAUUGAUGUUACCCACAGAAGAAGCACCGGCUAACUCCGUGCCAGCCGCCGCCGUAA